This 449-nucleotide ribosomal RNA is filed under the name uncultured bacterium. RNAcentral describes it as "partial 16S ribosomal RNA". It matches the Rfam family "Bacterial small subunit ribosomal RNA", at positions 28 to 523 of the family's 1533-position model. The record is from RNAcentral.
AACGAACGCUGGCGGCAGGCUUAACACAUGCAAGUCGAGCGGGCCCUUCGGGGUCAGCGGCGGACGGGUUAGUAACGCGUGGGAACGUGCCUUCUGCUCUGGAAUAGCCCUGGGAAACUGGGGGUAAUACCGGAUGUGCCCUGAGGGGGAAAGGUUUACCGGCAGGAGAUCGGCCCGCGUCUGAUUAGGUAGUUGGUGGGGUAACGGCCCACCAAGCCGACGAUCGGUAGCUGGUUUGAGAGGAUGAUCAGCAACACUGGGACUGAGACACGGCCCAGACUCCUACGGGAGGCAGCAGUGGGGAAUCUUAGACAAUGGGGGCAACCCUGAUCUAGCUAUGCCGCGUGGAUGAUGAAGGCCUUAGGGUCGUAAAGUCCUUUCGCCGGGGAAGAUAAUGACGGUACCCGGUAAAGAAGCCCCGGCUAACUCCGUGCCAGCCGCCGCGGUAA